UGCAUGGUGGUGCAGUUGGUAGCACUGUUGCCUCCUUCUUGCAGCUAGAAGGUCCUGGGUUCAACUCCCGGCUGGGUGCUUUGCAU
Molecule: non-coding RNA, 86 nt
Organism: Characodon lateralis
Lineage: Eukaryota; Metazoa; Chordata; Actinopteri; Cyprinodontiformes; Goodeidae
Source: the annotation of a GenBank genome assembly